AGCCGUCGCCUCUCCUUGCUCUGCUCCUCUCUCUCCCAAGCGGCUCUCCCUCUAUCUCCUCGUUUCUCUCCCCUCCUCUUCUACAGCCGCUGCCAGGCAACCGACCGCCGAGCAGCGCAGCCACCCGAGCCCCACGCCCGCCGCGCCAGGAACCAGCGCCCCUGCUCUCGCCAGGACGCCAGGAAUUGCUCUUUCUAUAGCAAGUUUAUGAGUUCAGUUUAUAUUCCAUUGAAUAUUUGUUGCAGUGAAGAGAAAUGAGAGAAAGCCUUCGGUUGUAGCCUUCAGUUUAUAUUCCAUUGAAUAUUUGUUGCAUCCGACUCAUCUCUGUUUCGAUUCCAUCCGGUUUGGCUCAUUUUUUAAUCGAGUGUGUUGUAGUUUUGUACCCUAAUGUCGUGGGAGUGCUACCGAAGUACUGAUAGCAUCACUUUAAUUUCAUUAGCUCCGUCCUGGCAAUCACUUUGGGAAGGUGGUCAGUGGAAUAACUUUGCUUAAAAAGCUUGAAGCAGUUGGUAGUGAAACUGGAAAUCCUUCUUAUCAAGUGAAAAUUGUAGACUGUGGUGAAGUUUCCAACACAAAUUCUCAGGAUCCGCUAAAGGGAGAUAAAGUAAGCUCAAAGACAGAUAACAGCAGUUCAGACAGUGAAAAGGGUGGCCAUCGUACCAAGCGUUCCUUGACGAAAGGUAGUAAUCUAAUUCCAUUAGAUUUAAUGUGUGGGUUACAUAUUUGCUAUCGACAUAUCCUAGUGGACUAGUUACUUUUGAGUGGCUAAUGAAAGAUCUCGAAAUUACAAUUCAGAAGAUAGGUAUGUCUAUUAACUACAUUAACAUAGCUCAGGUAUGAAAGACACGUUUGCCGAGUGUGAAACACUCGGCAAAGGUGGCGCUCGGCAAAGGGCCGUUAGUGGUCGUCCUAAAGCUAACGACCGUCAGUCUUUGCCGAGCACCGAGGAUUGGACACUCAGCAAAGGACUCUUUGCCGAGUGUCUUCUCUAGACACUCGGCAAAGUAUAUUUUUAUUUUUUUGAUUUUGUCUCCCAAACUUUUUGUGGUAUGUUCCUACACUAUGUAGACCUACAUGUAUCAUUUGUGGACAAUUAUAACAGAGUUUUCAAUCGUU
Molecule: long non-coding RNA, 1116 nt
Filed under: Zea mays
Lineage: Eukaryota; Viridiplantae; Streptophyta; Magnoliopsida; Poales; Poaceae
Description: drought-responsive long non-coding RNA
Source: RNAcentral